Molecule: non-coding RNA, 1274 nt
Organism: Vigna umbellata (rice bean)
Lineage: Eukaryota; Viridiplantae; Streptophyta; Magnoliopsida; Fabales; Fabaceae
Source: RefSeq, a predicted model, not a curated record
AACAAUAGCGCGAAGUCACUCCCACUCACGCGCGUAGUGCUUCGGGAAAGACAACCUUAACCAAAGAGUGAGAGACAGAGACCAAGUGGUUGUUAGGUUGCUGAUCAUCAAAACUAGUGCCCGUCCCGAUCCAUUAUGCUUAACACCUUAAAAAUUUUCCCUCAAUUUCUUUCCGUACACACAUUUUCUCAUCAGUCAAACUAACCAAGAUCCUCACUCAAAGGCAUAAAUCUUGUGUUGGGACUUUGAGGAACAAUCUAAGGGUGGAACGUUCGAGUUGGUCUCUUUGAUGAUCAGAGAGAAUCUGUUCUUCUUUCGUUUUUGCUUUUAGUGUGGAGGGCAAGUAUUUGAAUUUUUCGUAAGUAUCCGGAGUCUUCUUGCCAAGAUGCUACAGUUUCAGUCAAAAAUGGUAUUGAGUAUUUACUACAUUGUUCUGCACACUGAUUGAUGGAACUUUAAGCAAGUUCGUUAGUUCUUCGUUACCUGAGAAUAAUUUGGAAUUAUUAAGUGAGAAAUGCUAGUAAGUACUCAUUUGUGUAGGCUCUUAAAUGUUUGGUGAAAUUUAUUAGACCACAAAAUUCUAGGGGACUCACUUCUUACACAUUAUUUUGUGGUUAUUAAUAAAUUUUUAACCAAUAGUAAAAAGUAUGUCAGAAGGAGUGCGUUGCUAGCAUUCUUCAACCCUGUAAAUUUGAAACCAUUAUAUGUCUCGAAAGUUUUGGGUAUAAUUUGUUGGAGAAUUUGAUAAGAACACAAUUUAAAUGGAUUUCCUAAUGUGUGAAUAAUCACUAUCCUUAAAGAUUUAUUCAUAAUGUAUGUGCAAAUAUCUCAAGGUACAACUGAAACUUGAAAAUUUUAAAGAUAUCAGAAAUAGCAAAAGAAACUCUUUACAAGAGUAAAUAUAAACCCAUGAUACAAAACAAUAAAAAAAGAAAGAACAAAGAGAAAUGAGAGGGAGAGCUUGAGAAAGUGUGUUAUGUGGUUUUGGAGGAAGCACAACACCCUUAUUUAUAGAUGCUAAAUGCAUGAGGGUUUCAAGAGAGGUUAAAAAACCAUGACAUGCAGAUGCAGCUAUCCGAGUCUUGUAGAGGAGAGAUUGUCCAACAACUUUGUUGCAACGAUCUCGACCAACAGCCUUGUUGCAACGAUCUCGACCAACAACCAAGCUCGGCCAACAAACAAGCUUAGCCAACAUAAGCUCAGCCAACACGACCUCAGCUAAUGAGCUCAGCCAGCACAAGCUCAGCCAACACAAGCUCAACCAACAUAGUAAG